AGGUAACAAGCCACAGGACAAGAGGAAAUAUCCUCAAGUUGCACCAAGGACCGAAUGAUAGUGUAAGAGUCUUGCUUCCACAGAUGUAUAGAGCAGGAGAAAGUUUCCUGUAACUGCAGAACAGUCCUUGUCAAACCAGUGGUGCAGCCAGAAUAUCUUAGUGACUAUGCUGGAAUGACUUGACGUAACUCACUGACAACACUGAGACGCUCUGGGCACAGCAUUCCCUACCCAACCAUCAGCCAAAAGUGCCUUUGGAAACCUACUGACACUGACACCUGUUCUUCUCCACUCAGGAAUCAGGCAUGGCUUGUUCUCUAGAGAAUGGUAAGAGAAUAAAUUUCUUGGAACCUCAGGGAAUUGU
Cyanistes caeruleus (blue tit) is the source of this 364-nucleotide long non-coding RNA. RefSeq lists it as uncharacterized. The record is from RefSeq and is a predicted model, not a curated record. NCBI's taxonomy places the organism in Eukaryota, Metazoa, Chordata, Aves, Passeriformes, Paridae.